VRDAVUSAAAACCGCCAAAGAACUACAAGCGCAAGCUUAAAACUUAAAGGACUUGACGGUGUCCUAUCUACCUAGAGGAGCCUGUUCUAUAAUCGAUAAUCCUCGCUAUACCUUACCUUUUUUAGCUAAUCAGUCUGUAUACUUCCGUCGCAAGCUUACCAUAUGAAUGCAUCAGUAAGUUAAAUAGUAAUAAGUUUACCAAAACGUCAGGUCAAAGUGCAGCCUACAAAAAGGGAAGAAAUGGGCUACAAUUUCUACUUAAGAACAAACGAAUUUUAGUAACUGAAAACUACUAUGAAGGCGGAUUUAGAAGUAAAGCGAAAAUAAAGUGUUCGCUUUAACAAUGCUCUGGGACGUGUACACACCGCCCGUCACCCU
This 378-nucleotide ribosomal RNA is filed under the name Hyperolius viridiflavus (common reed frog). Its description in RNAcentral is "partial 12S ribosomal RNA". It matches the Rfam family "Bacterial small subunit ribosomal RNA", at positions 858 to 1403 of the family's 1533-position model. Lineage: Eukaryota; Metazoa; Chordata; Amphibia; Anura; Hyperoliidae. The record is from RNAcentral.